Molecule: ribosomal RNA, 437 nt
Filed under: uncultured bacterium
Lineage: Bacteria
Description: bacterial SSU rRNA
Rfam family: Bacterial small subunit ribosomal RNA
Source: RNAcentral
ACACAUGCAAGUCGAACGAGAGAUGAAGAGCUUGCUCUUCAAAUCGAGUGGCGAACGGGUGAGUAACGCGUGAGGAACCUGCCUCAAAGAGGGGGACAACAGUUGGAAACGACUGCUAAUACCGCAUAAGCCCACGGCUCGGCAUCGAGCAGGGGGAAAAGGAGCAAUCCGCUUUGAGAUGGCCUCGCGUCCGAUUAGCUAGUUGGUGAGGUAACGGCCCACCAAGGCGACGAUCGGUAGCCGGACUGAGAGGUUGAACGGCCACAUUGGGACUGAGACACGGCCCAGACUCCUACGGGAGGCAGCAGUGGGGAAUAUUGCACAAUGGGGGAAACCCUGAUGCAGCGACGCCGCGUGGAGGAAGAAGGUCUUCGGAUUGUAAACUCCUGUUGUUGAGGAAGAUAAUGACGGUACUCAACAAGGAAGUGACGGCUAAC